RNAcentral lists this long non-coding RNA (200 nucleotides) under Capsella rubella. Its description in RNAcentral is "long non-coding RNA (CRUB_LNC005084)". The record is from RNAcentral. Lineage: Eukaryota; Viridiplantae; Streptophyta; Magnoliopsida; Brassicales; Brassicaceae.
AAAGGAUCUUAUCUCUUUACCUAUUAAACGUAUAUAUUGGUUUACUUUAUACGUACGUAAAUUUAUGGGUUUCAUCUAAGUGUGUCAGAUGACCUCAUUCACAUUUUGCUUUCAUAUCUUCCUUUGUCCUCUUCUCCCAUAUCAUCGACCCACACUUGUAUUUUUCCUUUGGACUUUUUUGCUUCUUGUUUUUUGUUUUC